Molecule: long non-coding RNA, 678 nt
Organism: Magnolia sinica
Lineage: Eukaryota; Viridiplantae; Streptophyta; Magnoliopsida; Magnoliales; Magnoliaceae
Exons: 3
Source: RefSeq, a predicted model, not a curated record
UAAUUUUCAUGCACAAGAAGCAAUGGAUGAUAUUUUUAUCUCUCAGGUAUUAAGUUCUUACAUGAGAAGAUGAACAUGAUGUUUGAAGUAGAUGUUACCACAAACUAUAGUGGGCCUCAUGGAUCUAUGCGUUCCACCUGAAGCCAGCUACAACUCUUACCAAGGAUUCUAGUCCAACAUCCUAUUGGAUUGAGUGUGGGCUUCCCUCCAUUGGAGAAUAUGAUAGACAUGAAGUUACUGUGAGUUGAAUUGAAUAUACUACUAUCCUUGGUAUAUAUAACAAUGUCAAUGCUCUCUUGUUUCAUUCAUUUUAUGAAGUACAUUGCUUGGCUGAUGCAUCAGGAUACUAAGAAAUUGCUUGAUUUCUAGUGAAAUCCCAAAAUUUAUUAACGACAACAUGAAGAAUCUCAAAACCCUGGGCUUAUGAUGAGGAAGAAUCUGCAGCAAGGGCUUACAAUCUGACCACAAUUGCUCCAGAACUCAAGUGGACAACACCACAGGAAACAAUUACAAUUAAAAAGUUCUUGUGGCCACAAGUUUUGAAUCAAGCUGAUUUAUGUGUUUUCCCUUCAACCACGUCCUUGUGACUUUAUAGACAGGCACCAUCACAAUGGCAGAUGGGAAGUAAGGAUUGGAAGGGUUUUCAGAAACAAGUACCUCUACCUUGGAACUUACAGU